This is a long non-coding RNA of Onychostruthus taczanowskii (white-rumped snowfinch), 244 nucleotides long. RefSeq lists it as uncharacterized. The transcript is spliced from 3 exons. The record is from RefSeq and is a predicted model, not a curated record. Lineage: Eukaryota; Metazoa; Chordata; Aves; Passeriformes; Passeridae.
GUGAUUUUAACCGGCGCUGAUGUGCCCAGCAGCAUGUGUGUGCACGUUCAGUGUCUUUCCAGGCAUCUCCUCUGUCCUCUUCAAUAGAAGAGAUGUUUGAAACAGUCUGUUCAAAUAAGUGAGAAGAUGAGGGCAAGACAGCAUGUCAGGCUUUUGCUCCAAAAAAGACAACCCCUGCAUGAUGUGAGUGAAGACGCCGUGCCAGUUCUUCUCAUGUGUUGUACAUUUUAUGUGACUAUAAAAA